This 72-nucleotide transfer RNA is filed under the name Bos taurus (domestic cattle). It matches the Rfam family "tRNA". Rfam says of the family: Transfer RNA (tRNA) molecules are approximately 80 nucleotides in length. The record is from Rfam by way of RNAcentral. Lineage: Eukaryota; Metazoa; Chordata; Mammalia; Artiodactyla; Bovidae.
UCCCUGUGGUCCAGUGGCUACAACUCUGCACUCCCAACGCAGGGGGCCCAGGUUCAAUCCCUGGUCAGGGAA